Molecule: long non-coding RNA, 335 nt
Organism: Helianthus annuus (common sunflower)
Lineage: Eukaryota; Viridiplantae; Streptophyta; Magnoliopsida; Asterales; Asteraceae
Exons: 3
Source: RefSeq, a predicted model, not a curated record
GUCGCCCAGGAGAACAAGGAAGGAGGGGAAAACCUUUACCAUCUUAAAAUCCAGCAAUCAAAGGAAAGAAUGGAAGAUAAUCAAUUGCAUGUCCAUCAUUUUCUAAUCAUCUUAACAUUCUAAACAUAAGGAAUUAAGGAAGAAAGCUCAAGUCGUUCCGGAUCGCAAACAAACAACGACAAAAGUAAAGCUACUUGAUGGAUGGCACUACUUGGUCCGAACACACUUAUGAUGCACGCUUCCGCGAAGGUCUUAGUUACGGGUCAAACUUUUGUUAAAUGAUGUCUUUUAUUAGUCUUUUGUAAGUAAUUUACCCGGUAAUUGUAGAAUGUUAA